Long non-coding RNA from Rhinopithecus roxellana (golden snub-nosed monkey), 1843 nucleotides. RefSeq lists it as uncharacterized. The transcript has 3 exons. The record is from RefSeq and is a predicted model, not a curated record. Lineage: Eukaryota; Metazoa; Chordata; Mammalia; Primates; Cercopithecidae.
CUCACUGACCCUCUACCUUGUGUUUUAAUGUGCAGGGGGAAUGUGCUGUGCCUAUGCUUUACCUCCAGAACGUUGAGUUUGAUGAUACCGUCUCCAUCCUUGUCAAAUGCAUGAAAAGCUCCUGUGAAAGAAGGCACAGGCCAGAGGCCAGUUACAGGUGCACUCUACCUGUACUACUGUUAACUUUCCAAAGAGGACCAUGUGCCCAGUGCUGUCCCUCAUCAGCACAAAGAUCUGCAGGCAGAGAAUCACCAGCUUUGCCAUCCCAUUCUGGGCCUAAAGAGGGCCUUGGCCCUUGUUCCGCCUGGAUGGGGCAGACUGGAGAUUAUCAGAUGGAAAAACACUGUUCAAAUUAAAUUUCCUGCAGAAACACCGUGUAUAUAAAGUCAUUGAAAAACAGAGCUGCUCUGAUUAAAGAGAACAGAGCUCUUUGCCCUCAGCACCCCACAUCACCAUGGCAGCUACUGAGGCACCGCCAAGGAACCUCUAGGACUCUGCAAAGUACAGACUGAAAAGGACACGGAUUAGCGGCAUGGUCCGUGGGGCUCUUGUGGGGAUCAAAUGAGAUAUGGAAUGCAAAGUCAUACUGCAAAACCAUUUAAGAUACUACACAAACAAGGGAUAUUUUCAAGACAUGCUCGUCCAAGUGACAAGGAUAUGAAAAGCGUGGAGAGCGGCUGCUGCAUGGCGCCAACACUGGUGGGUGCAACCUGUAGGGGAAGCCUGGGGAAGGCAAGGCUGUGGGGAUUGAGGCUGCAAUGAAGAGAACAACGGAGCAGGCAGAGCCUCUCAGAGCAGAAAAGCAGCCCGCCCGGGCUCAGGCGUCACUGCCCUUCCAUGCGGCUCAUCUAGGACAGCUCAGGCAGAUAGACCCAUGGUAACGGCUCCCCAGCUUUGGCUCCCAGCAGGCUCCAGAGGCCCUGGCUUGCUCUGCCUUCUAAGCAAAGUGUCUUGCUCAAGCAGCUGAAGCUUGUGGGGAUCCCAGAGCAAAUGGAGGUCACAGUCUGAGGGGAUGUGUAGGAUGGAUAUGAUGUGGCCAUGGAGCAUCCCUGCCAGGCACACACCAGCAGGCCUGAGUGUGGGUCUGGACAAUGCAGGCCUUGAAGUGUACGGGCCUGGCAGCAGAGACAGAGGGCAAGAAACACAGGUGUUGGAGUAAACAGACAUGGUUUCCAGUUCCAUUUUCCCCACUUAUUAGUUCUGUUCCUUGGGCAAGUUCACUUCUUUAUCUCACCUGUGAAAGGGGAAAAAUAACAGCACCCUACUUUGUAGAUACUGUUAUAAUUGUGGGAAAAAAACACAAAAAGAGAGUUUGACCCCAAGCACAGUGCCUGGAAUGUGGUAGUGCCUGAUGAGUGUCAGCUCUGGUCUGGGCCAGCACCAGUACCCGGAGGUCCCCUGUGAUGGAUCCAUCACCACCAGGCACCACCAGAAAUGCUAGAACCAAAUCUGAUGGUGUAUGAUGGCCUCUUGUGGUUCAGGACACGGACUCUAGACCCAGACUGCCUGGCACUAAGUACUGGCCCUGCCACUCCCUGACUGUGUGGCCUUGGGCAAGUUAGUCAAUCUGUCUGUACCUUUUCUCCCUCUGAAAAUGGGGAUAGGGCUGUUGUGAGGAUGGAAUUAAUCAUGGAAAUCACCUAGAAGAGUGCUUGGCACGUAGCCUUCCCCCAGCAAAUCUCAGCUGUCAUUACUGCACUCUCAGCCCCAGCAGGAGCUCAGGGAAGGAGCGGGAGGAAGAGGCAACUCUGGUGCAUGCAUGCAUAUGAGCUCCAACACACAUGCACACACACACGCAUGCACACACACACGCAUGCACACACACGCAUGCACACACACACAU